RNAcentral lists this ribosomal RNA (400 nucleotides) under uncultured archaeon. RNAcentral's name for it is "bacterial SSU rRNA". It matches the Rfam family "Archaeal small subunit ribosomal RNA", at positions 279 to 681 of the family's 1478-position model. The record is from RNAcentral.
AGAGCGGAAGCCCGGAGAUGGGCACUGAGAUAAGGGCCCAGGCCCUACGGGGCGCAGCAGUUACGAAAACUCCCCAAUUCACGAAAGUGUGAGGGGGCUAUCCCGAGUGCCGUCCGCUGAGGAUGGCUUUUCCCCAUUGUAUAAAGCUGGGGGAAUAAGGAGAGGGCAAGACUGGUGUCAGCCGCCGCGGUAAUACCAGCUCUCCGAGUGGUGGGGACGUUUAUUGGGCCUAAAGCAUCCGUAGCCUGUUGGAAAAGUCCUCCGUUAAAUCCACCGAUUCAAUCGUUGGGCUGCGGGGGAUACUAUUCAACUAGGGAGCGGGAGAGGCUGACAGUAUUCCCGGGGUAGGGGUGAAAUCCUAUAAUCCCGAGAGGACCACCAGUAGCGAAGGCUGUCAGCU